CUCGUAGAUGAACGCUGGCGGCAGGCCUAACACAUGCAAGUCGAGCGGUAGCACAGAGAGCUUGCUCUCGGGUGACGAGCGGCGGACGGGUGAGUAAUGUCUGGGAAACUGCCUGAUGGAGGGGGAUAACUACUGGAAACGGUAGCUAAUACCGCAUAACGUCGCAAGACCAAAGUGGGGGACCUUCGGGCCUCAUGCCAUCAGAUGUGCCCAGAUGGGAUUAGCUAGUAGGUGGGGUAACGGCUCACCUAGGCGACGAUCCCUAGCUGGUCUGAGAGGAUGACCAGCCACACUGGAACUGAGACACGGUCCAGACUCCUACGGGAGGCAGCAGUGGGGAAUAUUGCACAAUGGGCGCAAGCCUGAUGCAGCCAUGCCGCGUGUGUGAAGAAGGCCUUCGGGUUGUAAAGCACUUUCAGCGGGGAGGAAGGCGGUGAGGUUAAUAACCUCAUCGAUUGACGUUACCCGCAGAAGAAGCACCGGCUAACUCCGUGCCAGCAGCCGCGGUAAUACGGAGGGUGCAAGCGUUAAUCGGAAUUACUGGGCGUAAAGCGCACGCAGGCGGUCUGUCAAGUCGGAUGUGAAAUCCCCGGGCUCAACCUGGGAACUGCAUUCGAAACUGGCAGGCUAGAGUCUUGUAGAGGGGGGUAGAAUUCCAGGUGUAGCGGUGAAAUGCGUAGAGAUCUGGAGGAAUACCGGUGGCGAAGGCGGCCCCCUGGACAAAGACUGACGCUCAGGUGCGAAAGCGUGGGGAGCAAACAGGAUUAGAUACCCUGGUAGUCCACGCCGUAAACGAUGUCGAUUUGGAGGUUGUGCCCUUGAGGCGUGGCUUCCGGAGCUAACGCGUUAAAUCGACCGCCUGGGGAGUACGGCCGCAAGGUUAAAACUCAAAUGAAUUGACGGGGGCCCGCACAAGCGGUGGAGCAUGUGGUUUAAUUCGAUGCAACGCGAAGAACCUUACCUGGUCUUGACAUCCACAGAACUUAGCAGAGAUGCUUUGGUGCCUUCGGGAACUGUGAGACAGGUGCUGCAUGGCUGUCGUCAGCUCGUGUUGUGAAAUGUUGGGUUAAGUCCCGCAACGAGCGCAACCCUUAUCCUUUGUUGCCAGCGGUUCGGCCGGGAACUCAAAGGAGACUGCCAGUGAUAAACUGGAGGAAGGUGGGGAUGACGUCAAGUCAUCAUGGCCCUUACGACCAGGGCUACACACGUGCUACAAUGGCAUAUACAAAGAGAAGCGACCUCGCGAGAGCAAGCGGACCUCAUAAAGUAUGUCGUAGUCCGGAUUGGAGUCUGCAACUCGACUCCAUGAAGUCGGAAUCGCUAGUAAUCGUAGAUCAGAAUGCUACGGUGAAUACGUUCCCGGGCCUUGUACACACCGCCCGUCACACCAUGGGAGUGGGUUGCAAAAGAAGUAGGUAGCUUAACCUUCGGGAGGGCGCUUACCACUUUGUGAUUCAUGACUGGGGUGAGUCACA
Molecule: ribosomal RNA, 1475 nt
Filed under: Klebsiella variicola subsp. tropica
Lineage: Bacteria; Pseudomonadati; Pseudomonadota; Gammaproteobacteria; Enterobacterales; Enterobacteriaceae
Description: bacterial SSU rRNA
Rfam family: Bacterial small subunit ribosomal RNA
Source: RNAcentral